AUUGAACGCUGGCGGCAGGCCUAACACAUGCAAGUCGAGCGGAUGAAGGGAGCUUGCUCCUGGAUUCAGCGGCGGACGGGUGAGUAAUGCCUAGGAAUCUGCCUGGUAGUGGGGGAUAACGUCCGGAAACGGGCGCUAAUACCGCAUACGUCCUGAGGGAGAAAGUGGGGGAUCUUCGGACCUAACGCGAUUAGAUGAGCCUAGGUCGGAUUAGCUAGUUGGCGGGGUAAAGGCCUACCAAGGCGACGAUCCGUAACUGCUCUGAGAGGAUGAUCAGUCACACUGGAACUGAGACACGGUCCAGACUCCUACGGGAGGCAGCAGUGGGGAAUAUUGGACAAUGGGCGAAAGCCUGAUCCAGCCAUGCCGCGUGUGUGAAGAAGGUCUUCGGAUUGUAAAGCACUUUAAGUUGGGAAGAAGGGCAGUAAGUUAAUACCUUGCUGUUUUGACGUUACCAACAGAAUAAGCACCGGCUAACUUCGUG
RNAcentral lists this ribosomal RNA (484 nucleotides) under uncultured bacterium. RNAcentral describes it as "partial 16S ribosomal RNA". It matches the Rfam family "Bacterial small subunit ribosomal RNA", at positions 30 to 507 of the family's 1533-position model. The record is from RNAcentral.